CCUGUGUGCGAGGCUAAUGAGCACAUGUACUACUUUGUUUUCCCCGUGAAUGACUCUGUGUGCCAGAGAGGGAGAAGCUGUCGCCUGUUGAUCCACUGAUUAUUUCUCCUUGUUACAGAUUGAGUAAAAGAAAGUGCUGAAUCUCAUCAACGAGUGGUCGUGUGGUCUUUAUGUGUGUGAGGGUGACCGGUCCAAACAUGCUACAC
Long non-coding RNA from Sinocyclocheilus anshuiensis, 206 nucleotides. RefSeq lists it as uncharacterized. Lineage: Eukaryota; Metazoa; Chordata; Actinopteri; Cypriniformes; Cyprinidae. The transcript is spliced from 3 exons. The record is from RefSeq and is a predicted model, not a curated record.